This 103-nucleotide small nuclear RNA is filed under the name Saimiri boliviensis boliviensis (Bolivian squirrel monkey). The record is from RNAcentral. Lineage: Eukaryota; Metazoa; Chordata; Mammalia; Primates; Cebidae.
GUGCUCAUUCAGCAGCACAUAUACUAAAAUUGGAAUGAUACAGAGAUUAGCAUGGCCCUGGUGUAAGGAUGACACACAAAUUCACGACACAUUCCAUAUAUUU